GCGGCCACUGCUAUCAAGUUCCGACUAAGCCAUGCGAGUCAAGGUAUCGUAAGAUGCCGGCAAACUGCUCAGUAACACGUGGAUAAUCUAACCUUGAGUAAGGGAUAACUUCGGGAAACUGAAGGUAAUACCUUAUAAUUGCUUAAAACUGGAAUGUUUUUGCAAUAAAAGUUACGACGCUCAAGGAUGAGUCUGCGACCUAUCAGGUAGUAGGUGGUGUAAUGGACCACCUAGCCUCAGACGGGUACGGGCCCUGGGAGGGGUAGCCCGGAGAUGGACUCUGAGACAUAAGUCCAGGCCCUACGGGGCGUAGCAGGCGCGAACACUGUGCAAUGCGCGAAAGCGCGACACGGGGAGCUUGAGUGUCUUGGCAUAGCCAAGACUUUUCUCAUUCCUAAAAAGCAUGAGGAAUAAGUGCUGGGUAAGACGGGUGCCAGCCGCCGCGGUAACACCCGCAGCACGAGUAGUGGUCACUUUUAUUGAGCCUAAAGCGUUCGUAGCCGGUUUUGUAAAUCUUCAGAUAAAGCCUGAAGCUUAACUCCAGAAAGUCUGAAGAGACUGCAAGACUUGAGAUCGGGUGAGGUUAAACGUACUUUCAGGGUAGGGGUAAAAUCCUGUAAUCCCGGAAGGACGACCAGUGGCGAAAGCGUUUAACUAGAACGAACCUGACGGUAAGGAACGAAGGCUAGGGUAGCAAACCGGAUUAGAUACCCGGGUAGUCCUAGCUGUAAACAUUGCCCAUUUGAUGUUGCUUUUCCGUUGAGGGAAGGCAGUGUCGGAGCGAAGGUGUUAAAUGGGCCGCUUGGGAAGUAUGGUCGCAAGACUGAAACUUAA
Molecule: ribosomal RNA, 834 nt
Filed under: archaeon enrichment culture
Lineage: Archaea
Description: bacterial SSU rRNA
Rfam family: Archaeal small subunit ribosomal RNA
Source: RNAcentral